This is a long non-coding RNA of Leopardus geoffroyi (Geoffroy's cat), 148 nucleotides long. RefSeq lists it as uncharacterized. The record is from RefSeq and is a predicted model, not a curated record. NCBI's taxonomy places the organism in Eukaryota, Metazoa, Chordata, Mammalia, Carnivora, Felidae. The transcript has 4 exons.
AACAUGGGGGUGCAUCUAUCUUUUCAAGUUAGUGUUUUCAUUUUCUUUGAAUAAAUAACCAGGAGUGGAAUAACUGGAUCAUACGGUAUUUCUAUACUUAAUUUUUGGAGGAAGUUCCACACUGUUUUCCAGUGACUACCACUUUGCU